UCCCACUUCUGGACCUGGAUCCCUAUCUCCUGGAUCUCAGCGUGAAGACCACAGGAAGCUGCUCCUUGCUGCAUCCGUUUGGUGCUGAGUCCAUGUUCUGGUAACCGUCCGAAGAGCUGGUUUUAUAAUGAGCUGCUGAAAAACGGAUGCCCCCGACGUGUUCCCAGGCUGCUGGCUGGGAUCCUCUCUGCUGGUCCUCACCGGUCAUCCCGCAGAAGGCGUGUGAGCAGCUCUGGGUCCAGUGUGUUCACUGACCACAGACCUCUGAGCCAAUCAGCACACAGGACGACUCACCUGUCCCAUCAGCCAACGGGGGAAGGGAGACAUGGAACCUGAAGGCUCCUGCACAACAACCUGUGUUUGUGGACCUGCACCGGACAUGAAACGGGCCGUGCAGACGUUCCAGAUUCCUUCUAAACAUCCAUGUUUGAAUACGAGGGGGCGUGGCCACCACGUGUCACCUGCGGGGGGCGUGGCUACUACGCAGACGCGGGGUGGUGAGGCAACCAGUAACCAGAACUGGACCCAAGAUUCUCCAAAGUGA
This 544-nucleotide long non-coding RNA is filed under the name Betta splendens (Siamese fighting fish). RNAcentral's name for it is "lncRNA (ENSBSLG00000010804.1)". Lineage: Eukaryota; Metazoa; Chordata; Actinopteri; Anabantiformes; Osphronemidae. The record is from RNAcentral.